UACGUAGGGUGCGAGCGUUAAUCGGAAUUACUGGGCGUAAAGCGCACGUAGGCGGUCAGGCAAGUCGGGUGUGAAAGCCCUGGGCUCAACCUGGGAAUUGCAUUCGAAACUAUCUGACUAGAGUAUGGGAGAGGGAAGCGGAAUUUCCGGUGUAGCGGUGAAAUGCGUAGAUAUCGGAAGGAACACCAGUGGCGAAGGCGGCUUCCUGGACUAAUACUGACGCUGAGGUGCGAAAGCGUGGGGAGCAAACAGG
RNAcentral lists this ribosomal RNA (253 nucleotides) under uncultured bacterium. RNAcentral's name for it is "partial 16S ribosomal RNA". It matches the Rfam family "Bacterial small subunit ribosomal RNA", at positions 524 to 776 of the family's 1533-position model. The record is from RNAcentral.